CCCUUAGAUGUCCUGGGCCGCACGCGCGCUACAAUGAUGCAACCAACGAGUGCUGCUCCUUGGCCGAGAGGCCCGGGGAACCUUGCAAACUGCAUCGUGCUGGGGAUAGAUGAUUGCAAUUCUUCAUCUUGAACGAGGAAUGCCUUGUAAGCGUGAGUCAUCAACUCGCGCUGAAUACGUCCCUGCCCUUUGUACACACCGCCCGUCGCUCCUACCGAUUGAGUGGUCCGGUGAGGCUUUGGGAUCUGAGCGGAAAGAGCGUUUCGCUGUUUCUGCUCGGAAAACUCAGUCGAACCUUAUCAUUUAGAGGAAGGAGAAGUCGUAACA
RNAcentral lists this ribosomal RNA (327 nucleotides) under uncultured eukaryote. Its description in RNAcentral is "partial 18S ribosomal RNA". It matches the Rfam family "Eukaryotic small subunit ribosomal RNA", at positions 1470 to 1796 of the family's 1831-position model. The record is from RNAcentral.